CCAUUCAAGGAAGGCGCAGGCGCGCAAUUACCCAAUCCUGACUCAGGGAGGUAGUGACAAGAAAUAACAAUAAACCGGCUUAUGCCGGUUUAAUUGGAAUGAGUACAAUUUAAACAUCUUAACGAGGAACAAUUGGAGGGCAAGUCUGGUGCCAGCAGCCGCGGUAAUUCCAGCUCCAAUAGCGUAUACUAAAGUUGUUGCAGUUAAAAAGCUCGUAGUUGGAUUUCUGUGGGGACGGAGCGGCCGGCCGCACAUCGCGGUUCGAGCUAGCGCUUUCCCUACAUCCUGCCGCGAACCGUGCUACCAUUAAUUUGGUGGCGCCGGGGAUCGGCUCGAUUACUUUGAGAAAAAUAGAGUGUUCAAAGCAGGCCACAUGCCUUGAAUAAGUUAGCAUGGAAUAAUAACUAAGGACUUCGGUUCUAUUUUGUUGGUGUUCGGGACUGAAGUAAUGAUUGAUAGGGACAGUUGGGGCGGUCUGUAUUCCAAAGCGAGAGGUGAAAUUCUUAGACCUUCGGAAGACAAACAGCUGCGAAAGCGUUCCGCAAGGAUGUUCCCUUUGAUCAAGAACGAAAGUUGGGGGAUCGAAGACGAUCAGAUACCGUCGUAGUCUCAACUAUAAACUAUACCAGCUAGGGAUCGGCCAACGUUAUUUUAUACCGACUUGGUCGGCACCUUAUGAGAAAUCAAAGCAUCUGGGUUCCGGGGGGAGUAUGGUCGCAAGGCUGAAACUUAAAGGAAUUGACGGAAGGGCACCACCAGCCGUGGAGCCUGUGGCUUAAUUUGACUCAACACGGGAAAACUUACCAGGUCCAGACAUAGUAAGGAUUGACAGAUUGAUAGCUCUUUCUUGAUUCUGUGGGUGGUGGUGCAUGGCCGUUCUUAGUUGGUGGAGUGAUUUGUCUGGUUAAUUCCGUUAACGAACGAGACCCCAGCCUGCUAAAUAGCGCGCGUGAGCUUUGCUCGCGGCGAGCUUCUUAGAGGGACUAUGAUGCGCGAUAGCACAUGGAAGUUUGGGGCAAUAACAGGUCUGUGAUGCCCUUAGAUGUUCUGGGCCGCACACGGGCUACACUGGCGCCUGCAACGAGCAUAUCAGCUGGCCCGAGAGGGUCUUGGCUAAUCUUUUGAACCGGCGCCGUGCUUGGGAUUGACCUUUGCAAUUGUUGGUCAUGCAACGAGGAAUGCCUUGUAAACGCGAGUCAUCAGCUCGCAUUGAAUACGUCCCUGCCCUUUGUACACACCGCCCGUCGCUCCUACCGAUGAAUGUUCCGAUGAAAUUUUCGGAGAGCACCUGUGAACUUGGCUCUGCCUUGCGAACGGGAGGCUCAAAGUCACUUAAAUUUGAAACCUUAA
RNAcentral lists this ribosomal RNA (1350 nucleotides) under uncultured marine eukaryote. RNAcentral's name for it is "SSU rRNA". It matches the Rfam family "Eukaryotic small subunit ribosomal RNA", at positions 412 to 1776 of the family's 1831-position model. The record is from RNAcentral.